Molecule: ribosomal RNA, 497 nt
Filed under: uncultured bacterium
Lineage: Bacteria
Description: partial 16S ribosomal RNA
Rfam family: Bacterial small subunit ribosomal RNA
Source: RNAcentral
UACUAACUCUGGCGGCGUGCCUAAUACAUGCAAGUAGAACGCUGAAGAGGGGAGCUUGCUCUUCUUGGAUGAGUUGCGAACGGGUGAGUAACGCGUAGGUAACCUGCCUUGUAGCGGGGGAUAACUAUUGGAAACGAUAGCUAAUACCGCAUAACAAUGGAUGACACAUGUCAUUUAUUUGAAAGGGGCAAUUGCUCCACUACAAGAUGGACCUGCGUUGUAUUAGCUAGUAGGUGAGGUAAUGGCUCACCUAGGCGACGAUACAUAGCCGACCUGAGAGGGUGAUCGGCCACACUGGGACUGAGACACGGCCCAGACUCCUACGGGAGGCAGCAGUAGGGAAUCUUCGGCAAUGGGGGCAACCCUGACCGAGCAACGCCGCGUGAGUGAAGAAGGUUUUCGGAUCGUAAAGCUCUGUUGUAAGUCAAGAACGGGUGUGAGAGUGGAAAGUUCACACUGUGACGGUAGCUUACCAGAAAGGGACGGCUAACUACGUG